RNAcentral lists this long non-coding RNA (361 nucleotides) under Malus domestica (apple). Its description in RNAcentral is "long non-coding RNA (MDOM_LNC018587)". Lineage: Eukaryota; Viridiplantae; Streptophyta; Magnoliopsida; Rosales; Rosaceae. The record is from RNAcentral.
UUUAAUUAUUUAUUAAUGGCAAGGAUUAAUUAAUAUGUUAAUUAAUCAAACGAAUAAGUUCGUUAAAGACCUCAGGAUAGUUUUUGGACCUUAAGGCCCAAUGGGCUUCGAACGUCAAGCCCAUUGACUUAAGUUGUAUGACAACUUAAUGACUAAAUAUUCACAAAUGCCCAAACAACCCAAACACACCCUAAGGCCGGCCAUAUUGUUAAGGGUAGUGAACUUGGACUUAUUUACAAGUUUUCCACUCAAAUGAAUAAAGGUAUAAAUAUGACUUUAUAGCCAAAAUUCAUUUAAGGGUUUGUUUUUGAGAAAAUUGGAGAGAACAUGUCUCUCCAUUUCUCUCUAAAGAGGCCGGCCC